CUUUUUUGGCAGUGCACAGCCAGAGAACAACACAUCACACACAAGAAACAGUUGUGCUCAUGUGAUGGGGGCCUCAGCACUAGGAAGGAGUGGACUGUUGGCGCACGCAGCAGCUUGAAUAAAUCUGAAAGUCACUACGCUGCGUAAGAGAAGCCAAAUAAAGCGCAUGCUGUGUACAGAGGGUGUCGAGAAUGUGUCCUACGUGACGGAAAGCAGAUCCGUGGUUCCCUGCAGACUGGCAGGAGCAGAUUCCAAAGGCACAGGAAGAAGCUUGCAGUACAAAGAUAAAAAUCUAAAGUGGUUGCUGUGGAGGACAGGGGUCAGUGGUGGAAGUGAGACCGAAAUAGACUCUGAAGUAAUAUCUGGACUUUGAAAUUGUUUCCUUAACGACAACAAAAAAGGGAGUAAUCCUACCUACUGUAAGAGUCAUGACUCUUGAUUGCAGCUGACAGAAACUCAUGACAGCCUGGUUUAGAUAAAGGGGGAGAGAAGGACUGGAAGAAUCUUGGAGUUGGGAAUGUCGCACGUAAUUGAAGGAAGAACAAGAAAACUAUAGCAGCUAUUCCCAACCCCAGAACCUUUGCUGUCUUGGAACAGAUCACCACUGCAAGAGGGGAAGUUGCUACUGUGAUGAAUUCUGCCAUGUGGUACCAGACUGCUACCCAGACCACAGUGUCCUCUGCAACCCUCGUAACUCACAUACAGGCCUGAUUCCACCUACAGCAAAGCUGGAUGCUAUGGUUGGCAGAGGCAAACCCUUUGCCUGCACUUCAGGCCAAAGCCGGGAUGUGGCCUAGAUGGUUCCUAAGGUCCCUGACAAUCCUGAGAUCUUGCAUCUUGUCUAUUUCAGGUCAAAGCUUCUCAGAUGACCAAGAUGGUGCUGCAGAUGGUGCUGAGGAUGGAGAACCCACCAAGCCC
RNAcentral lists this long non-coding RNA (918 nucleotides) under Pan troglodytes (chimpanzee). RNAcentral describes it as "lincRNA". The record is from RNAcentral. Lineage: Eukaryota; Metazoa; Chordata; Mammalia; Primates; Hominidae.